UUUAUAUGCUUUUUUAUUCCUAUGGACAAGGUUUCAAUUCUAAAAAACUCCUAAAUAACAUACAUGGAUUCUAUUUACCUCUCUGACCACGGCCGGGGUGGUUACCGGCGACGAAGGACUCGAAUCAACAAGGGUUUUUUAUUAGUAGCAGCAACGGCGGUCGUGGGCUAGUGAGCGGUGGCUUCACAUGUGAGCUGGGAUGGUCGUGAAGCAGGGCACUCGGGGAGCAUGCAUGGCGUGGGUGAUGGGGGAACCGAGCUGCUCGGUCAGAGUGCUAGCGUGGUGUGCGUGACAGCCCCGAGGGCUUCACGUGGGGGCACUCGGUUGAGGUGUUUCAAAACGGAUCUUGUAAUUGGGUCAUUUCUGGGCCUGUAACUGGGUCUUACUUGGGCUUGUAAUUAAAUUGGUUUGCAAUUGGGCUUUAAGCAUUUAAUCUGGAUUUGAA
This is a long non-coding RNA of Hibiscus syriacus, 445 nucleotides long. RefSeq lists it as uncharacterized. The transcript has 2 exons. Lineage: Eukaryota; Viridiplantae; Streptophyta; Magnoliopsida; Malvales; Malvaceae. The record is from RefSeq and is a predicted model, not a curated record.